Molecule: long non-coding RNA, 456 nt
Organism: Bradysia coprophila
Lineage: Eukaryota; Metazoa; Arthropoda; Insecta; Diptera; Sciaridae
Source: RefSeq, a predicted model, not a curated record
AUGGGGGACUCUGUGAUAUUUUCGAUCAAAUUUAUAAUUAAAAUGAAACGACUGUUGUACUUCCUACAAUAUUUUCGGUGUACAGAGCUGGACUACACGGCAUGUACACAAUCUUAACUUUCGUUUGAACAUUUAAUCGAGGGGAAAAUUCACUUUCUUUAUUCCUGAUUAGUCUAUGACUCAUCACAUUCAUUAUUACUGGUCAUAUUGCUAAGGUGAGAAAAUUGAAUUAUUUGUCCCCGCUAAUUUGAUAGCAAUACUAAAUGCUCACAAUCGUAGCUGUCACGCAUGACGCACUUUUCUUAUCACUGUUCAUAAUCUGAUUGUAUUUUCGUUUUCUGUUAACUGUUCAGAUGGAUGACAUGGGAGUUUCAUUGAAAUUGUAAAUGAGGCCUUGGACAAUUACAAACAUUCAACAGAGGGUCUGUUGCAUCCAUUAGGCGAUUAUUAUUUUUA